Molecule: ribosomal RNA, 435 nt
Filed under: uncultured bacterium
Lineage: Bacteria
Description: partial 16S ribosomal RNA
Rfam family: Bacterial small subunit ribosomal RNA
Source: RNAcentral
AACGAACGCUGGCGGCAUGCCUAACACAUGCGAGUCGAACGAGAUCCUUCGGGGUCUAGUGGCGCACGGGUGCGUAACGCGUGGGAAUCUGCCCUUAGGUUCGGAAUAACAGUUAGAAAUGACUGCUAAUACCGGAUGAUGACGUUAAGUCCAAAGAUUUAUCGCCUGAGGAUGAGCCCGCGUAGGAUUAGCUAGUUGGUGUGGUAAAGGCGCACCAAGGCGACGAUCCUUAGCUGGUCUGAGAGGAUGAUCAGCCACACUGGGACUGAGACACGGCCCAGACUCCUACGGGAGGCAGCAGUGGGGAAUAUUGGACAAUGGGCGCAAGCCUGAUCCAGCAAUGCCGCGUGAGUGAUGAAGGCCUUAGGGUUGUAAAGCUCUUUUACCCGAGAUGAUAAUGACAGUAUCGGGAGAAUAAGCCCCGGCUAACUCCGU